RNAcentral lists this ribosomal RNA (266 nucleotides) under uncultured bacterium. RNAcentral describes it as "partial 16S ribosomal RNA". It matches the Rfam family "Bacterial small subunit ribosomal RNA", at positions 793 to 1055 of the family's 1533-position model. The record is from RNAcentral.
GUCCACGCCCUAAACGAUGUCAACUAGGUGUUGGGUGGGUAAAACCAUUUAGUACCGUAGCUAACGCGUGAAGUUGACCGCCUGGGGAGUACGGCCGCAAGGUUAAAACUCAAAGGAAUUGACGGGGACCCGCACAAGCGGUGGAUGAUGUGGAUUAAUUCGAUGCAACGCGAAAAACCUUACCUACCCUUGACAUGUCAAGAACUUGCCAGAGAUGGCUUGGUGCCCGAAAGGGAGCUUGAACACAGGUGCUGCAUGGCUGUCGU